GCUGAUCUACCCAUACGCACCCUGGCUCUCUUGACCAGUGGUAAGUGCUCAUCACCAUCUUCCUUCAAUUCCUUGGAAUUAUUUUCAUCAGAUUUUACAGGGUCGCCUGGCAAAACAUCUGUAGUUCUAGCAGUCAGUAUCUCCGGAGCUGCAUCUUUGUCUAACCCAGCAGAGGACUCGGAUAAAUCAAUCUGCAGCCUCUUUCUAUUUGGC
Molecule: unclassified non-coding RNA, 213 nt
Filed under: Hevea brasiliensis (rubber tree)
Lineage: Eukaryota; Viridiplantae; Streptophyta; Magnoliopsida; Malpighiales; Euphorbiaceae
Source: RNAcentral